GCUGGGUGCUGUGGUGCACACCUGUCAUCCCUGUGACUUGGGAGGCUGAGGCAGGAGGAUCACAAAGUGGAGGCCAGCCUCAGCAACUUAGCAAGGCCCCGAGCAACUCAGUGAGACCCUGUCUCUA
This 127-nucleotide small RNA is filed under the name Marmota monax (woodchuck). Lineage: Eukaryota; Metazoa; Chordata; Mammalia; Rodentia; Sciuridae. The record is from RNAcentral.